UGCCUGUAGAUAACCAAUUACAGGUUCAUCCUGCCCAGUGAUCCCAUAUUCAACGGCCGCGGUACACUGACCGUGCUAAGGUAGCGCAAUUACUUGCCUUUUAAUUGAAGGCCUGUACGAACGGACCCACGAAAGCCUAACUGUCUCACAACUAUAAAAGGAAACUAAUCUUUAAGUGAAAAAGCUUAACUCAAAUAAAAAGACAAGAAGACCCUGUAGAGCUUAACUCAUACAUCUAUAACCUCAACCUAUUUUUACAAUCACCUCUAGCCCAAGAGUUUUGCUGGGGCAGCAAGAGACCAACAAAAACGUCUCCUUACAACCAAGACCCUAAGUCACCCACCAGACCCCCUCCUCUUCUUAGAAGACCCAGGGAACUUAAAACAUAGCUACCUCAGGGAUAACAGACUAAUUUGUCUUAAAAGUCCACAUUAACAGACAAGUUUGGCACCUCGAUGUUGGCUCAGGAUUCCCCUAGUGUGCAGCAGCACUAUAGGUAAGUAUGUUCUCCUUUUAAAAUCCU
RNAcentral lists this ribosomal RNA (523 nucleotides) under Ctenodrilus serratus (sawtooth elbow crab). RNAcentral describes it as "partial 16S ribosomal RNA". It matches the Rfam family "Bacterial large subunit ribosomal RNA", at positions 1829 to 2597 of the family's 2925-position model. Lineage: Eukaryota; Metazoa; Annelida; Polychaeta; Terebellida; Cirratulidae. The record is from RNAcentral.